AACUUUCAUUCUCGCCCCCGCUCUCCGCACUGCCCGGGGCGGGCGGGGCCGAAGGAGCCCGCGCGCGGGAGUCCUCAGUCACCCCCAGCGGGGGCAGGGCGCGUCCGCCUCUGCGCCUGCGCCCCUCGAGAGCUAGGACCUGGGGCGGGAGGAGGAGGAGAAGGAGGAAGGCGGGCGAACUUGGAAGCGAGCAAUGAUGGCCGCACGGUCUACGAUCUGGGUCGAGGCGGUACCGGGGAAGGGAGGGCCCACGGCUGGAAGGCAGGGCCCCGGAUCGGCCUCGGGGAGAGAAGACGGAAGUGGAGCUAGGACAAAAUGGCCGCGAAGCUUUUGUGAUCUCUGAACUACCUAGAACGUCUUAACCAUCGAGCCAGUGGAAAAAUAGAACUGGGGCCCAAAUCCCCUGGUUUGGGGUGUUCCACCAAACGGCAGUGGUUACAGAAAGCAGAACGAGUUAAUGGAAUGUGGUUUGAAACCAGCAGCAGCUCAGACUUUAUCUCAAGCCCAAAUCCUGUCAUGUCUGAACCCAAAACUGACUCAAGGAGAAGUGCACUGUCAUUGCUAAGACUCCAGCAUCUUAUCUCUCGGGAUCUUCAGGCCCUAGAAUUUCUCAGAUGGUAGGUAGUUAUCAGUUUUGUGACUUCUUUGUUGAUUUGUAUUGGAAUAGAUUUCCAAAAUAAAUACUUUGGCUAUUAAUUUAUUUGUUAUUUUAGUCUUCUGACAACCACAUGUUCAAACUACCUAAAUACUGUUUUUAUGCAAAGUGGGCUGAUCCCUGCUUUCAAAGGCAUGAGCGGGGAAACCUUAGGUUCAAAGGUAGAAAGUAAUGCUCACAGUAAAAUAGGUAGUGGUGGUAGAGCUGCAGCCUCCAUAGUGACCUGUGUGGCUCAGGUACUCUGGCAAUGAGAAUUCUUAGUAUUAUGUAGCAGAAGUAGUGAUACGUUGCUGGAUACCACCACCAGAAGAAGAAAAAGUAAAGGGAUUUUAUUUCUUACAAUGAGGCAGCAUUAGUAUGAGAAACAUUCCAAAUAUGCUAUCCCUCUUAAACUAACACCAGACAUUUUUUACACUACUUGCCAACUUUUUUUAGAGUAAGACAAAACGCAGAUGAAAACUUUCUCCCAAGGAUAAACCCCUGUUUCUUACAGGGCUUUAGAAGGAAAUGCAUUUGCUUCGUAUGAGGACACUGUGGUGAGAAUUAAAUGGAGAAAUGGAAAACCAGAGAAAUGGAGCACAACCCCAGACCGGCCUCUGCCCUGCCAGCAUCUGAUUCCCAUUUGAGAAGCACUGCCUCUUCUUUUCUAGAGCUUGCUGCCCUUUUAAUAAUAAAUCUCUUGCUCUACCAACGACUGGCUCCUUGAAGGGCUAUUUCAGGUUUUGAAUUCUUGUCAUUAGGAUGAGUUUGAGUGGCAGAGUAGUCAAAACUAUUAAAAGGGCAAGUUAUUGUAUUGGUGGGUGCUGUUAGUUUUUGUUGUUUUUUACAUUUUCUAGACAUCUUUCUUUUUCCCAUGAAGCAGCUUUUCUGAGAGCUACCCUGAUGAAUCAUUUCUGCUAAUGCUUUCCAAGAUACUGACAAUUAAAAUGUUAAUGGACACUUGCACAAACCUGUUCUGCCAUUCACUGAUUAUGCUGUCUCUUCUCGAAGUGUUAAUUCCAUCUCCUUCUACCCCAGAGCUGCACUUCCUUAGAGGCUAAGCUGGUAAAAUGUGGAAUUUCCGUCUGUCUCAACUUCUGAGGCAGGAGUGAUUUUGACAUGGGGGGCAGUUAGGAAAUGUUGGCAAUCCCUGAUCUUCCUGAUAGUGGAAGGCCUAGAAUCAUCAGGAGUCCCGGGUUCACAUCCUUUUUCUAAAACGAAAGAAAGUCGCAAGUUUGGUGCAGUUCUAAAUUUCCUUAUACCAUACUGUGACACAUUAAGAAAAUUAGUUUAAUCUCCCUAUCUAGUCUAGAAGUCUUGAAAUUCUGGUUUUAUAUGUUCUCAGAAAAACUAUAAUGGUAUGUUGGGUCUUUAAAAGAUGUUUAAAAGCAUCUUUAAAAGAUGUUACACGGAAAGACUUCUUUAUAGGGACAUUGUUAAAUGGCAUAUAGUAAAUGUUUUGUUCCUCCAGAGAUACCCAGCAGGGGAGUCCUCAGAAAUGUCUCAUUUGAGGGGAACCCACAGCUGUUCCAGGGUACAUUGCUGACAUUUGUCAGUGACCCUCUGAACAUCAUUAGGAUGAGACGUUUUUCACAGUCCUGUCACACAUUUUGGACUCUUUGUGGUUCUUUUGUAGUUCAGUAUAAGUAGGGGGAAAUUAGUGGUGGAUGGAGUGGGAGGAACUCAACUAUCGUCUUUUGUGUCCUAUCAUUUCAUUUCCCCUUGAAAUCUGUAUUUUAACCUAGUGGUAAAUGAAGUCAGGAUGAAACAGAAGACACAGUUCCUUUUUUCUCAGGACACAGUGCUGAGAGGUGUUAACGUAAGGCUGUGGGUUCCGCUCGACUCUGGAUGAUCAAUAACCCGCUUGCAGAAAGGCAUAGGAGAUCUAUGAACAAUACCUCGUUGCUUCUUGACAAUCACGAAUUGAAGUGUUGGUAGGAAACAUCUCAGGUGAGAGGUUCUUUGUGGGUUCACUUCCUCUUUCCUCCGACUUUCUCACUCCAGGCCCUGCCCACAGAUAGACAGGUUCAAACCCCUGCUUCCCCCACUCUUGGCUGAAGGCAGAAGGAGAUGCCGUUUUGGAGGCGUGGGCUCACACCUGGUUCAGUGUGCUCUAAGGAGAGUGUUCAUUUGAAUCGGCCUGGUGCAAGGCUCCCUGCUACUAGGUGACCUCUCAUAUGAUUGGGGGUGGUGUGGCUGGUGGCUGGGCUGUGAUGGCUAGAAAACUCCUAAGAUGCUGACCCCAAGGACAGCCUGGGAGUCCAAGUGCACCGUAAUUCAGACAGUUUGGAAGGGCCGGCUCUGGCUGGGGCCCGGGCUGGGUGUGGCUUCUGCCUCGGUCGGGGCUGCGGGGCGCAGGUCCUCUGGCGCCGCACCUCUGGCCCCUGGCCCCGCUCGGCCGUUCGCGCGGGGCACCGGCGGCGGCCGUGGCGCCGCCUCUGUGGACAGUGUCCGCUGGCUGCGGGAGGCGCUGUUGGCAGUGGAGCGGGUGGAGGCAGAGCCGGAGCGCGAGCUCCGGGAGCCUGAGGACGAGGAGCUGGGUUUCACCAGGCGGGCUUUGGGCGCCUCAGCGUCUUCUCUGAGGAGGAGAAACAGCGAGUGUAAAAUGUAAUGCAGGAGAUUGUGCACAUGUCCACUAUGUACGCUUCCUUCUGAGGUUCCCCAAUGAACAUAGGCAGUAAUUUAGGGACCUAGUGACUGCCCCAGUUCCUGGGACCUAAUGUUUGGCUCGGGCAAAGGGACCCUUGGUCAGCCCAGGGGUCUCAACGGCAUGUGCCUAGUGGGGUUUGUGAGUGGACCCUUCCGUGGCCCACAGGUUAUGCCCGAUGCCCCUUGAGUGAAUCGGAAGUAAUGUAAUUUCUCUUCUCCCCGAACAUCUAAUAUUUCCUAAAAGGAAACACACAUUCUCUUAUAUAAACACAUUAUAAUGAUCAAAAUCAGGAAAUUAACCACUGAUACAGCACGAUUAGCUAGCUAAUCGACCAACCUUAUUCAGGAUUCACUAAUUGUCCUAGUAACAUCUUUCACAGAAAUGAAAAUCCCAGAUCAGGCAUGACACUCCAUUGUCAGGCCCCCUCAGUCUCCCUCAGCACUUCCUCAACCUUUCCUUGUGUCUUGCGACCUCAGCGUCGUUUCUGAGCAAAGGCCAGUGUUUAUGUCUCUCCCAGGCUGGCUCUGACGCUUCCAGGGUCAGAGUCAGGCAUGCAUUUGGGUCAGGACACCAAGGGAGUGAUCUCUUCCGUCUGUGUCGAGGAUGGACGGUUUCUCAAUAAAGCCAAGGUCAGCCAGACCUUUUGUCCUAGGCUGGAGUUCCUGACCUACCAGAUUAGAUUUUUGGUUAAGAGAACAUGGGGCAUUUGUGUUGGCUGGUCACUGUGGGGCUGGCCCUGGAAGGGCAGCCGACUGGCAGAAGAGCUUGUGCGGUGAGGCUUACCGGAUCUCAUUAGGUCUCUCUUCCUCCUCAUACCGCUCUUUGUCUUUCUUUCGGAUCAGCAGCCACACCAAGAGGAAAAUCAGCAGCGCACCGGCCACCAUGCCCGUCACGGCUCCUGCAAUCAUGCCUAUGCUUUGUGCAUCUGUUUUCUCAGAAGCAAAGGCAGAAACAGAGGGGAACGUAAGCCAGGAAGUACGCGGACCUGAAAACCACAAGCCUGGACAGGACGAGGUCUUGUCCAGAAACACACUUCUUCCCAGGAAACUAGAGUAGGUGACUCUGAAUAGAAUCCAAAUACCGAGCAAGAACUUUUGUAGCACCGUGAUGCAUUUGACUGUCCCUUGCACAGACUUUAUUAAUAAGAUGUAGGCAUUUGUCACUCUUGGGUUCCAAACUAUUUUGCGGCAGAAUGGCUAAAUGCCCUAAGAAGUCGGGACCAUCGGUAAAUACAGCACCCAUUAUGGCACCUCCCUCAGGAAAAUGGUGAAGAAAAUUGAGAUCAACCAGCACACAAAGUACACUUGCUCCUUUUGUGGCAAGACCAAGAGGCGAGCUGUGGGGAUCUGGCACUGUGGUUCCUGCAUGAAAACAGUGGCUGGUGUGCCUGGACCUACACCACCACUUCUGCUGUCACGGUCAAGCCUGCCAUCAGAAGACUGAAGGAGCCCUGGCUGGUGUGGAUCAGUGGAUUGAGUGCCAGCCUGGGAACCAAAAGGUGUACCGGCCCUCGUCACUGGGCUUCAGAGGCUGAAUCUGCAAGGAAGCGUCUCCUGCCAGGAAAUUGGAAGCAAAGGCCACUCGUCCCUUCUGUUCCUCAGUCAAGUUAUUGUAGACAUGCUGGCUGGAGUACGUGAUUACCUGUGGGACAGACCAGGGCAGGGUCAAGCAGUGUGGUCUCGCCUUGCUCUCCAGCUGUCGUCAAGGCAAGGAAUGGGACUACUGCCAAUGGAACACAGCAGUCGAGCCUGGGCUGAUGCUAAGGAUCCAAGAGACCUGUUCUAAAUAAAGUUAAAGAUACAAUGUUUGUCUAGGCCCUGCUUUUCAUUUUAGGAAUAGCAACACCUCAUAUUUGUGUACCAUCUUAAUAUAAAAUAAUAAUUCCAUUAAAUGUGCAGGACCAUCCCAGUUUAGAGCUAAGGGGUUUUAAAUGUGAGUUACAUCAUUGCAGCUACCUGGAGGAAAUGCACAGGAAUGGUAUUAAGAGUCGACUCUGAGGAGACCGGAUAGAAUAGAGGGUAAGGGUGUGGAGGAAGACUUAUCUUCCCCUUUUUAACUUUUGCACAUUCCACCAAUGUCAUGUGAUUUCUCCAAAGAACAAGUUCAGUCCCGGUGCUAGUGCUUUUACAUCUCGUUUAUCUCUCCCACAAUUUUCUCAUGUAAUCCCUGUGCCCAUUUCAUAGGCAGCAGAACCUGAUCUGAGCAUGUCCAUUUGAAGCCGUCUAGUUCAUUGCUCUGGUAAGUUACCUCUGCCCCUUCCUUUUCCUACCUGUGUUUAUUUUAGUACUCAUUAACUGCUCUUCAGAAAGUUUAGAAAUGAAGGAGAAAAAUUAAACCAAAAAAAAAAAUCAACUUCUUUUGUCCUAUACAAGUUUAGAAUCCAGCUGAAGGGAUCAGAAAGCUCAGGAGGAGAAGUUAAUGGUUAAAACAUGGGUCUGUAUUGAAUGUCAACUGUAAUUGACAAAAACAAUUCAGCGGGGCGAGUGGUGAUGGAGGGAGACCUGACUUGGGGUGGUGAACACACAACACAGUGCACAGAUGAUGUGUUUUAGAAAAUCCUACCCCUGAAACCUAUAUCAUUAUUUUAACCAAUGUCACCCCAAUAAAGUCAAUAAAAAUUUUUAAAAGUUCAGGUCUAA
Artibeus jamaicensis (Jamaican fruit-eating bat) is the source of this 5923-nucleotide long non-coding RNA. RefSeq lists it as uncharacterized. The transcript is spliced from 5 exons. Lineage: Eukaryota; Metazoa; Chordata; Mammalia; Chiroptera; Phyllostomidae. The record is from RefSeq and is a predicted model, not a curated record.